Molecule: long non-coding RNA, 4438 nt
Organism: Musca domestica (house fly)
Lineage: Eukaryota; Metazoa; Arthropoda; Insecta; Diptera; Muscidae
Exons: 2
Source: RefSeq, a predicted model, not a curated record
UUCUGAGGGUUUAAAAUUCGAUACCUUGCUAAAGUAUUCCUUAAGGCGAACGAAGGUAUACACUAUGCCCGAAAAUAUCUACUUAAAAUAGUAAAUAUAGAUGGCGUGACAACCCGCUGUUAUGAUUACAGCUGAUGAAUUGUUGAAGCAUUCUCCUCAAGAUAUAAGUAGAUAUAUAGAAUAUCUAAAAAUACAAAGUAAGUUCAUGAGUUCGAAAUAACAUAUACCUAUGUAGCAAUGAAAAAGGAAAAAAUCGAUGAAAUCUCUAUUUAAGAUAUGACAUUUAGAUGGCGUUUGAUACAGAAUUACAUAAUACAUUAAGGUACAUUAUUUAAAGUUUUUUCUAACUUUCCGGCUUAUCGCUCACCUUUUAUUAAUCACUUUUAAUAAAAUUUGAUACUGGAACAGUUUUAUCAGGACGUUUAGAGAGAGAGAUAGAACAAAUAUUGCAUUUACCCUGGAAAUUUCUUAAUCAUCUGAUACUGAGGACACAAUUUCUUAAUAAUAAUUUACCUGAAGUGACAGAGAAUUGUGCUCUAUUUUGAAUAAAUAACAUUUUUAGCGAAAAAACUGUUUUUAUUGUCCAGAACUUGUAUUUUAUAGCGAAGAAAAGAGAUAGCACAUAUUUUCCUGUAAAAACUACUUUCCUUUAAAAUAAAUGAUAAAUGACCAUAUUUCAAUAAAAACAAGUAAAAAACCAGAUAAGUUCGAACCUUUAAUGCCCUUCACCAUUUUGAAGGAAUUUGAAAAAAUUAAAAAAAAAAAAAACUAGAAAAAUACCUGUCAAAUGAGACCCCUUAUAUGUGGGGCUAUACAAGGCGUUCAUAAGUAACUUUUUGUCAUAGCUGUAGAACCGAAUCCGUACCUCAAAAAGGAAACUUGAAACCUGCAUACGUGAUUUUUGUCAUAGUGUGUAGUACCCGUUACGAACUUCAAAUACAAAAUUUGAAACAAUUCUGGAGAAUAAUUUCGCUUAAAUCAUCCAAAUACCGAAUCAUCCUAUCCGAAAACUUAGAUUUGCACACGCGAUUUUUUGUUGUAGGCUCUAGUACCCAUUACGAUAUUCAAAUACGAAAUUUGAAACAAUUCCAGUGUAUAAUGUCGCUAAAAUCAUCAAAAUACAGAAUAUCGGAGGUAUGGUUAUGUGGGGCUACCGGUUACGAACUUCAAAUACGAAAUUUGAAACAAUUUUGGAGAAUAAUUUCGCUAAAAUUAUCCAAAUCCGGAAAAUGGGAGGUAACGUUAUAUGGGGGCUAUCCGAAGACGCAGACCUGCAUACGCGAUUUUGUAUUUAGGCAGUAGUACCCAUUACAAACUUCAACUACAAAAUUUGAAACAAUUCCGGUUAAUAAUGUCGCUAAAAUCAUCAAAAUAUCGAAUAUCGGGAGGUAACGUUAUACCCUCCAUACUAUGGUGGAGGGUACAAAAAAAAAACAGUUUUAUGUACUUUUAAUUUUUGGCAAUGAGUUUUUGGUUGUGGCAUGGUAGAUUUGUGGAUUUCCAAUGUUUUCUUUUAAAUAUAAUUUAUUAAAUAUAUAUAAAUAUAUUUUCUCAACAACAUUUGCCACAAGUUUCUCAAUAUCGAAAGAUUUUAAAACACACAAUUCGGAUUGAAAAGUUAUUAAUUUAUUAUUCUGGAGAACAUGAAUGUUGGAUAUUGAGAAUCUUGUUAUUGGUGUCAAAUUAAAUUUGAUUUAUUUACAAAACAUCCAUUCUAUUUUAUUUUCUUCAAAUCCUAUUCAAACAAUAUACAACACACUCCACUUUGUAGAUGCCUUAAAGACAGUGCCUCUUUUUAUAUAAAAACCAAUUAAAAGAAAAAAUACUAAAUAACCGAAUAAAAUAUAUAUAUAAAUGUCGAAAUGGACAAAUUAUAUUCCUACAAAGAAAAUUAUUAUUAAAAAAGUUAGAAACACAUCCAUGAUUGACAAGGAAUUUCAAAAGCAGGUGGUUAAUUAAAUUUGGCUUAGAUGCUAAGAAAAAAAAGAUCGGAAUAAGAAAACAUUUAACCUAAACCUUUUCCCUAUCACAAACGGACACAGGAAAUCAUGAAAUAAUGGCUUUAAGAAUCUUAAGAAAAAUACAAAAAAAAAAUAAAAUUGAAACAUAUAGAAACCAUUAAGAUUGGAACGUACAAAUUUAAUGCAAAAGUAAAAGCUGUGUGUAAGAAACAAAUAAGAAAACAUAAAUACAGUAUCCUUUUUAUGGAAAAUUACAUAUAUAAAAAAAUAAUUAAUUAAUAAUAUAAUUAGGAGGAAACAAAAAAAAAAAUAAAAUCAAUGUACUUUUCUGUGACAAAGAAUGAAAUGUUAUACAAAUCCCCCCUCUCAAUGGAAAACAAACUAUAGGCUGUUACAAAUUGAAAAAGAGAAUUAGUUAAAAAUGUAAUUAUAAAGAAAUGUUAUAGGAUAAAUUGAACGGCAUAUGUUGAUUGAAGAAUUUAAGGAUAAACUGAAUUCGUAUUAAAAAUUAUGAUGUGAAAAAUCAUUAUUCAUUAAUUCGAAAGAUAUGCCUAUUAUACAUUCUCAUCGAAAGUCAGACACAGCGCUAUCAAUUAUGCCAACGAAAUUGAUGAGAGGGAACGAAGAGGAAUUGAAACAAGGUUAAUCGUUGAUUGGCUCAUAAAUGAAAAAAUCUGUGUCUACUUUCGAUCAAGAAAAUGGAGAUGACAUUAACACCUUCUCAGACAAUGGUUGGUUUAAAAAUACAUAAAAGUGGUCGUUUAUUUUGGCACUGCGUGUACAGGGUAGGAUAAAAAUAAAUGCAACAAAGUCAAACGCCAUAAUUUUUACAUUUCUUCUUUAAAUUUUAUUAAAUGAAAGCAAUUUUAGAAUAAGUUUAGAUUUGUUCGAAUUGAUCACCUUUGGCAUUCAAACGGCCAAUGAAACCGUCACACGCUGCCCGAAUGUUGCUGUGCAGUAUUUUAGCCUAUUCCCAGCGCAGCGCUUGCGCUUGCUUGAGGUGAUCGACACUUUGGUAUAUUUUAGUGCCAACCUUGCUUUCCAAAAUACUCUAGACACAAUAGUCCAACGGAUUGGUAUUCGGAGAUUUUGAUGGCCAUUGUGCGCUGGAAAUAAAGCGAGGAACCUCAUUUUGUAACCAGUCUUGGGUGACGCGUGCUGAGUCCUGUUGGAAUGUCCAAGGUCUGUUUUCAAAAUGUUUGCGUGCCCAAGGCUUUAAUACACCCUCCAAAAUAUUUUCGCGAUAAUAUUCGGCAUUUAUUCUGAUGCCACGGUCGAUUAAUACGAGCGGACAGCGACCAUUGGCUAUUAUGGCAGCCCACACCAUCACCAUGGGCGACGAUUGAGUUUUGGUGGCCAACCGAAGGUGCACAUUUUCAGUUGAUCUCUUUGGCAAGUAAAAACGUUAACUUUCUUUGUUUACAAACUGAUGGACAAGGAAUCUUUUCUCAUCGGAGAAAACCAAAUUUGGCCGUUCACCACUUUCGGGCCAAGCGAAGCAACUCUUUAGCUCUUUUAGUUUAUUUUCUUUCUGUUGCGGUGUAUGUUUUUGCACAUUUUGGAAUUUCAAUAGCUUUACCCCGAGCUCAUUUUUUCAAUAUUUGUCGAAUGGAAUAUUGCGAUAUGUUCAGCUUACGAUCCAUUUUUCGGCUACUGCGAUGCGGGUUUCGAUCAAGUCGUUUCUUUACUUUUCGAAGCAUUUCUGCUGAGUUGCUGUUUUCUUCCGUCCACUUGAAGUCGGGCUACGCUACCAGUAUCACGGUAACGAGACAAGGCGAUGGUACGAGACACAAAAGAUUUAUUCACAAUUAAAUACUGGAGUGCUCAAACGACAGCCUAUCACGCUAUCACAAAUAACUUUUUUUCUGAAAAAUUAUAUUACGCUUGUAAACAAUAUAAUAAGCUGUCACUGGAAUAAUUUUAACAGCUGUCGGAAGGCGUAGAAAUGACAGCAGUCUGAAAUUGGUUGCAGUUUUCUCAUCCUGAAGGGGAAAUUGCAGAAACCACCAUGGACUAUUUUCCGAAAAAAUGCAAAACUAGCAGAUUCUUAUAGGUUCUGGAUCCGAUCAUAUGUCUUCAUGACUUUCGAGUCUCGUUUUUGUUACAUCCAUUAACUCGGUUUAUGUCAUCUCCAAAUAACACAUCCAUUCUACAAAGUCAAUGUACAUUUUUCCUUGAAAAAGAAAUCUCUCCUUAAAAAUAUUUUAAAUGUUAAAAAUGGAAAUAAAUAAAUGUUAAUUGUUAUAAAAUAAGUUAACUGUUCAUAAAAAAAUAAAUUGAAAUUUGUGUUGAUUAUUUAUUGUAAUUUUUGUUUUCCAAAACUAUUCGUUAAGUAAGUCUUAAUCUUAAUAAAGAUAAAAAAGAUUUGCCACAUUAAGGUCAAGGGGACCACAACCAAAAACACAUGGAACUUGGACAAACAUAGAGACCCACAACAAAUUAACUCUAAACCUAGGACACUAGUUACAAAAAACAAA